This 301-nucleotide ribosomal RNA is filed under the name uncultured bacterium. RNAcentral's name for it is "partial 16S ribosomal RNA". It matches the Rfam family "Bacterial small subunit ribosomal RNA", at positions 509 to 807 of the family's 1533-position model. The record is from RNAcentral.
CAGUAGCCGCGGUAAUACGAGGGGGGCAAGCGUUGUUCGGAAUUAUUGGGCGUAAAGGGCGCGUAGGCGGUUUGGCAAGUUUGGUGUGAAAUCUUCGGGCUCAACUCGAAGUCUGCAUCGAAAACUGCCGGGCUUGAGUAUGGGAGAGGUGAGUGGAAUUUCCGGUGUAGCGGUGAAAUGCGUAGAUAUCGGAAGGAACACCUGUGGCGAAAGCGGCUCACUGGACCAUUACUGACGCUGAGGCGCGAAAGCUAGGGGAGCGAACAGGAUUAGAUACCCCAGUAGUCCCUGUCUCUUAUAC